RNAcentral lists this non-coding RNA (160 nucleotides) under Phaeocystis cordata. Lineage: Eukaryota; Haptophyta; Phaeocystales; Phaeocystaceae. The record is from RNAcentral.
AAGAAGAUCCGGCGGUCGUCUUUCCAGAGUUUUGAAGAGAAAGCUCUGGUCCUUGCUUGCUUGCUUUCCUUUUUCGGACAUUUUUUCUACACAGUUAUCAUCAAAAACGACCAAAAAAAAAAAACAAUCUUUCUUACUUUCCAAAUUUUCUUGUCUUUGU